AAUGAUUCAUUCUCGCGAAAUACAAAAAACAGUGAGCAAACGCAUUUUACACGAUUUUGUUUUGGAAAACGGAAAACGCCAAAACAAAACCAGUACCAAACCCACCUUGUUUAAAAUCCUAAAAUUUUGUCGCCAAGGACUGCUUACUUUGGAACACGGCGCGGUCCCAGAACUGCCGUCGUUUUGGUGGUCUGAAGUGUGAAGAUAAACACGACGACCUUUUUCGUGAAUUCCGGAGGCAUCAUAAAACGAAUCAGCUGAGGCGUUCUUGUUCUUCCCCUUUGCAGUAAGGAGCACGAGCUGGUGAGUGAAUUCUUUCAACUGAACGAAAUUCAAUUACAUUAGUAUUAUCUGUAAGUUUUCGUUUUCGAAGAUGUAUGGAUUAUUUUAUAGAAGUAAUGGAAGGCUAUCACUAGCACAAGUGUUAUCAAAUAGUAAUAGGUCUAUUGCGCAAGAUUUAGCCACCUCUUAUUUGGAUUUGUUUUCUGGUUUGGGUUUGAAUGUUCAGAACGCAAGGUUGUUUAAUCCUUUUGGCGUUAAGUUAUUCUCAACUGAAGACGAACAAAUUAAAAGGAAAGUGCCAAAAGAAUGCUCAUUUACGGUGUCAUACCUCAUAAACUCAUGUGGGUUGUCCCUAAAAAUUGCAAAAUCUGUUGCCGAAAGAGUAAAGCUUCAAUCUUCGAAACUACCAGACUCAGUCCUUCAAUUUUUGAAAAAUCGUGGAUUCAAUGGUUCCCAAAUUGCUAAACUUGUUAGGGUGGCGCCCACAGUUACUUUUUGCCCAUCCCAAGAGGUCUCUCUUACCUAAAAUUGAGUUCUUGAAUUCUAUUGGGGCCACAGACGCUGAACUUGCUGAUGCUUGCUCGUCAAUCCCAGCCAUUUUGGGUCAAAGCUUGGAGAAUGUACUCAUUCCCAAUUAUAAAUUCCUCAAAAGUGUGUUUUUCUCUGAUGAAAAUGUUAUUAAAGUUUUGAGGAAAAAAAGAACGCGGUUAUUUUGUUUUGAUUUGCAGAAGACUGUGUCUCCGAAACUUGCAUUCUUGAGAGACCUUGGAAUGCUCGAGGCCAAUUUUGCACUGAUUUUAUCAUGUUAUCCCCCUAUUGUCCUCCAAAGACAGGAUAAGUUUGAUGGAAAUGUUAAGAAGGUCAUCAAAAUGGGUUUUAAUCCUCAAAAAUGUGAAUUUGUCCAUGCAAUGCAAGUAUUUUCUUCAAUUGGUCAAUCAACUCUGGAGUGCAAAUUGGAUGUCUUGAGGAGGUGGGGUUGGUCUGAUGAGGACAUUAGGUUGGCAUUUAGAAAGUGUCCCAUUUAAAUGACUGCAUCUAAGACCAAAUUAGUCAGCGUAUUCAAUUUUUUGGUAAACAAGAUGGGUUGGCAGCCUUCAGCUAUUGCCCAUGUUCCAAGUGCUUUUAUGUAUAGUUUGGAGAGGAGGAUCAUCCCCCGUUGUUCAGUUAUAAGAGUUUUGCUUUCAAAGGGCUUGAUCAAUGAAGAAAAUAAAAUCUGUUUAUCUUCUCUGGUGAUAAACUCUAACAAGCACUUCUUGGAUACAUUCGUGACCAAAUAUCAGGAUCAUGUGCCUCAAUUGUUGAAUAUCUUUCAUGGGAAAAUGACUAUUGGAGAACUAGGCUUAGAAUUUGAGCCACAGUCUGUCAUGAAGAAUUGUAGCGCAUAAAUGUCAAUACGAUGAAUUCUUUUUACACUGUGCCCGAGUUCUUCUUGGUUGUAGUUGUAGCAUAGUAGAUUCAUCACUUAUGCUUUUUUGGGUAUCUUUUUGUGCUUCAUGCUUCUUUUAUCGGAGAAAUGACAGUCAUCCAUUUUGCCUCACUGCUCUUGGUGGACUUAAAAUGGUUUGUUUCACUAGUCUUUUCUAGCCUGCUAUUUGCUUAACUUGAUCUAGAUUUCUUCUUUUAUGAGGAGAGAAUAAGCUUCUACAGCCCUGUUUUUCUAUGCCUGAAUUUUGUUAUAUGAUGUUGCUCUUGGUCCCAACUCAAACAGAACUUGUACCUUUCAUCUUUAUCAUUUAUGAAUCAUGGGAAAUGUUUUGACGCGGACAACUGAUAUACUUUCCUGUCAUCUGUUAUGUUGGCAGUAGUUUCAUGAUCUUGGCUUUUUUGAUGGAGGAUUAGUUGGAUUAACAUAAACCCUUAGGGGGCUGCUGGAUCACAACCUUUGGCUUCUUCGUACAGCCACAGAUCUGUAAGAUUUUUAGCCUUCUUGAAGAUUGGACUAAAGAAGUAAAACUGCAAAUGGAUACAUAUAAUCCUGGAUAAUUUAGGAUUCCCAAUUUAUUUGUAAUGAAAUAUUUCUUUUAUUCUUUAGGAAAAAAGACUUGGCUGGGGUAGACAUACUAUUUAUUUUUAAUGGUUAUUUAGUAGAAUGUUACUGCAUUUAUUUUGAAAUUGACCGAUUAUGAUAGUAGUUACAGGAGUGACAAAAUACAUUCAUGGCAUUAUUUUAUUGGAUUGUCCUAUUGAUAAACAAUUAGCAAAAUUCAUACACUUUGAUGUGUGUAGUUCUUUGCUGUGGAUACUUUCUCUGACUGAGAACUUGUGUGGGUUAGGCUGCCAAGGUGAUGCGUCUGAGAACUUAUGUGGGUUAGGCUGCUAAGGUGGUGCGACUGAUCAGGCGGGACCCAAAAACUAAAUUAUAUGUAUGUGGGUCUGUCAAAGCAGCAUAAGAUGUAAUAGUCUUUCAUCAAUCUCUCUCUCUAUCUCUCUUCUUUUUUUCUUUUUUUUCUGGGAGCCUUUUUCAUCCAUUUGUCUAAAUGAGAAAGAAACAGCUUCUAAAUUUUAAUAGUCAUUUUGGAUCAAGUCGAAGUCCAGCCCAUCUUAGUUGUUCAAUAAUUAUUACAAUUGGGUUUAAAUUGCGGCCCAUUCGCUAAUAUGUUUGCUCAAGUUAGAUGGUGAACAAUCUUUUUUUUUUUUU
Molecule: long non-coding RNA, 2920 nt
Filed under: Citrus x clementina
Lineage: Eukaryota; Viridiplantae; Streptophyta; Magnoliopsida; Sapindales; Rutaceae
Description: Citrus clementina (C. clementina) long non-coding RNA (CCLE_LNC004157)
Source: RNAcentral